Danio rerio (zebrafish) is the source of this 117-nucleotide ribosomal RNA. The record is from Ensembl. NCBI's taxonomy places the organism in Eukaryota, Metazoa, Chordata, Actinopteri, Cypriniformes, Danionidae.
AGCCACAGCCAUAUCACCCUGCAGCCCAAGAGUUGUUACUCACUAAAGCCAAGCUGGGCUGAGCCUGGUCAGUAUCUGGAUGGGAGACCACAUAGGAAAGCUAGGUUGCUGUUGGAA